This 499-nucleotide ribosomal RNA is filed under the name uncultured bacterium. RNAcentral describes it as "bacterial SSU rRNA". It matches the Rfam family "Bacterial small subunit ribosomal RNA", at positions 24 to 518 of the family's 1533-position model. The record is from RNAcentral.
UCAGGAUGGACGCUAGCGGCAGGCCUAAUACAUGCAAGUCGUACGGGAGUGGCCCUUCGGGGCCAUGAGAGUGGCGGGCGGGUGCGUAACGCGUAUGCAACCCACCCCUGUCAGCCGGAUAGCCUCGGGAAACUGGGGGUAACACGGCAUGUUCCGCGGGAAGGGCAUCCUUUCCGCGGCAAAGCGGCGACGCGGACGGGGACGGGCAUGCGUGCCAUUAGCUUGUUGGCGGGCGACGGCCCACCAAGGCUACGAUGGCUAGGGGAUCUGAGAGGACGGUCCCCCCACACUGGUACUGAGACACGGACCAGACUCCUGCGGGAGGCAGCAGUAAGGGAUAUUGGGCAAUGGGGGGAACCCUGACCCAGCCAUGCCGCGUGAAGGGAAUGAGGCCCCAGUGGUCGUGAACCUCUUUUGCGCGGGGACAAGGACGCGGUCGCGAACCGUGUUUGAGGGUACCGCGCGAAUAAGCAUCGGCUAACUCCGUGCCAGCCGCAGC